UGAGUUAGUUACAAUUUUGUAAAAUUUCUAAAAACUAUUCUUUUUCUAAACUACGCGCUGUUUUUUCAAUGAACGUUUAACGUCCAUGAAUGUUGACGUCAUUUUUCUUUUUUCUGUGAUAUAAAUUUUUUUCUAAACUACGCAUGUUGUUGGAGAAAGACCGUAAUUUGAUAAAGACCACACUUUCAGCGAUCUGUACAAAGAAAAGAUUGGCUAUGACACCUUAGACAAAGAAAAAGGCUAUGGCUAUGACACCUGAAGAAGUAGUUAAAACAACUAGUUAGAAAUGCUGUAGAAUAUGAAGAAGCUGUUACAGUAGUAUUUGUAUUAGCAUUGCCAGAAGUAGCUGAUACGCAUAUAUUCACAUUUACAUUGGAGUUUUGCAUUUUAUAUAUACAAGAUAAUUAUAAAUUUUUCAAUUCUUUAUUAUUAACCCAUGAGUUAAAAGUAUCAGGA
Hydra vulgaris (swiftwater hydra) is the source of this 456-nucleotide non-coding RNA. The record is from RefSeq and is a predicted model, not a curated record. Lineage: Eukaryota; Metazoa; Cnidaria; Hydrozoa; Anthoathecata; Hydridae.